CGGGCGGCAGGCGGUGGCCGGCGGUUCAUCCCGGUGUCCUGCGCGCGCUGCUGCCUUCGCCCGCCCACCUCGCCCUCCUGUUCCUCUCCAUUCCUGCAUUUCCUCCUUCUUGCUCUCUUUCACUUUCCUCUUUGCUUUAUUGAUUGAUCCAGCCAAGAACGCAUACAUUGGGAAACCAUGAAAUGCAUCCAGAUUCCCUCAAAGUGCGGGUCGUCAGCACAGGCACGGGAUUUAGAAAGGCUUAACCAGGACGUCUUGCUUUGCUGUCUGCCCACAUUAGAUGAGCUUCGCCAUGGGCUGUUUCUCGUCUGUCCUGCCUGGCUACCAUGCUGCCCUGCCUUGGAACCAGCCAACUAUGGACUGAAACAUCUACAAACUGAGUAUUCCUAGCUAGGCGUGGUGGCACACACCUGUUAUCCCAGUACUUAGGAGGCUGAGGCAGGAAGAUCACCAUGAGUUCAAGGCCACCUUCAGCGACACAGAGAAUUGAAGGCUAUCCUGGACUACAUAGCAAGACCCUGUCUCAGAAAACAAACAGAAUAUUCCUGUUAUUUGUGAUAUUAAAA
Heterocephalus glaber (naked mole-rat) is the source of this 566-nucleotide long non-coding RNA. The record is from Ensembl. Lineage: Eukaryota; Metazoa; Chordata; Mammalia; Rodentia; Bathyergidae.